Molecule: ribosomal RNA, 253 nt
Filed under: uncultured bacterium
Lineage: Bacteria
Description: partial 16S ribosomal RNA
Rfam family: Bacterial small subunit ribosomal RNA
Source: RNAcentral
UACGUAGGGCGCAAGCGUUGUCCGGAAUUAUUGGGCGUAAAGAGCUCGUAGGCGGUUUGUCGCGUCUGCUGUGAAAACUCGGGGCUUAACCCCGAGCCUGCAGUGGAUACGGGCAGACUAGAGGUAGGUAGGGGAGAAUGGAAUUCCCGGUGUAGCGGUGAAAUGCGCAGAUAUCGGGAGGAACACCGGUGGCGAAGGCGGUUCUCUGGGCCUUACCUGACGCUGAGGAGCGAAAGCGUGGGGAGCGAACAGG